Long non-coding RNA from Mastacembelus armatus (zig-zag eel), 1308 nucleotides. The record is from Ensembl. NCBI's taxonomy places the organism in Eukaryota, Metazoa, Chordata, Actinopteri, Synbranchiformes, Mastacembelidae.
GGUUUCCCCACCAAGAGGAGAACUGAAUUUACAGUGAUGAAAACACAGUACCAACAACAAGAUGUUCUUAAAAUCAGCCAUUCAUCUCAACAUGAUCAUUGUCUUCUGCCUGACCAUUAAUGUCAUGCUGGUUUCAGGUUCCUCUCUAAAUGACAAAGUUGACCAGGGUCCGGCAGACAUUUACACCUACACUGGAGAAAGAGCCAAAAUUAGCUGUUCACACAGAAUUGACAGCUAUGAUCGAAUCCUCUGGUACAAGCAAUCAAAGAAUAAUAAACUACAUUACCUGGGAUACAUGUACAAAAAUAACGCAAACCCACAGUCUGGGGUGGAUGUGAAGAUGAAUGGGAGUGCAGAUAAAGACCAAACCUGCUCAUUAACAACUGAAAAACUCAAUGUGAACAGCAGUGCGGUGUAUUUCUGUGCUGCUAGUUUACACAGUGCUACAUAUCACUUCUUCAUAGUACAAAAACCUUUCCUAUCAAAUAUUUUCAUCUCUGUAUAACAACUCAUAGCUCUGCGUCUGCGUGUCUGCUACAUAUCACUGCUCUUCAAUACAAAAGCAUCCUCACGGUUUUCACAGCUCACAGCUGCCUUAAAUAAUGUUCUUUCCUCUCAUUAGGUGGCAGCAUAUCAUUACUCAGGCUUUCAUAAAGCACCAGUGGUGUGUUAAGAGGAGGAGGAUUUACUAUGACACCACCCACCCACUUGGCUUCAUGUUACUUUUACUAAAAAAAAAAAAAGAUGCCGCAAAAAUCUGUAUAACUGCAUAUGCACUGUAGAAAAUACAAUAACUCACAGAAACCAGCCUAUGAUGGUAUAAUCUACCAUCAUAACUCCAGAGAACACAAAAUGAACUUCCUAUUUUAUUUGCUCCUUGGCCUUUCUUUCAAAAGUAUUCUAGUUUCAGGAUCCUCUCUUAGUGACCAAGUCUACCAGACUCCAGCUGUUCUGUACCACAAACCUGGAGAAAAAGCCCAAAUCACGUGUUUCCACAGCAUUGACAACUAUAACCGAAUCCUUUGGUACAAGCAAAUAAAGAACGGCCAAAUGCAGCUUCUAGGAUACAUGGUCGUAAAGGAUGGAUAUCCAGAGACUGGGGUGAAUGUAACAAUAGAUGGAAGUGCAAAUAAAGGGGACACAUGCACAUUAACUAUUGAACAACUCAACCUGAACAGCAACGCAGUGUAUUUCUGUGCUGCUAGUUUACACAGUGCUACAUAUCACUGCUUCAUAGUACAAAAACCUUUCCUAUCAAAUAUUUUCAUCUCUGUAUAACAACUCAUAGCUCCCUGCACCUGCAUGUCU